UUCCAUGGGUGUUAGUGAUACCAAAUC
This 27-nucleotide non-coding RNA is filed under the name Homo sapiens (human). The record is from RNAcentral. Lineage: Eukaryota; Metazoa; Chordata; Mammalia; Primates; Hominidae.